RNAcentral lists this long non-coding RNA (242 nucleotides) under Mytilus galloprovincialis (Mediterranean mussel). The record is from RNAcentral. Lineage: Eukaryota; Metazoa; Mollusca; Bivalvia; Mytilida; Mytilidae.
GUGUUGCUUAAUCUUCUAUGUUGUGUCUUGUGUACUAUGGUUUGUCUGGGUUUUUUUUCGGUUUUUUUUUAACUAUGGCGUUGUCAUUUAAUUUUCGAUCUUUGAGUUGGAAUUACCCUCUGGUAUCUUUCACCCCUAUCUCAGUACCAGAAUCUAUGACAAAGAUGUUCAUUGAUGAACUAUCAAUUUCCCCACCUAUGUAUCAAUACACCAACUUCAAUUGCAUAUAUAUUUCCCAAAUU